This 434-nucleotide ribosomal RNA is filed under the name uncultured bacterium. RNAcentral describes it as "partial 16S ribosomal RNA". It matches the Rfam family "Bacterial small subunit ribosomal RNA", at positions 29 to 507 of the family's 1533-position model. The record is from RNAcentral.
AGCGAACGCUGGCGGCAGGCCUAACACAUGCAAGUCGAACGAACCUUUCGGGGUUAGUGGCGGACGGGUGAGUAACACGUGGGAACGUGCCUUUAGGUUCGGAAUAACUCAGGGAAACUUGUGCUAAUACCGAAUGUGCCCUUCGGGGGAAAGAUUAAUCGCCUUUAGAGCGGCCCGCGUCUGAUUAGCUAGUUGGUUGAGGUAAUGGCUCACCAAGGCGACGAUCAGUAGCUGGUCUGAGAGGAUGAUCAGCCACAUUGGGACUGAGACACGGCCCAAACUCCUACGGGAGGCAGCAGUGGGGAAUCUUGCGCAAUGGGCGAAAGCCUGACGCAGCCAUGCCGCGUGAAUGAUGAAGGUCUUAGGAUUGUAAAAUUCUUUCACCGGGGACGAUAAUGACGGUACCCGGAGAAGAAGUCCCGGCUAACUUCGUG